CGCAUCUGUGCAUGCAGCAUAUCAAUAAGCGGAGGAAAAGAAACUAACAAGGAUUCCCCUAGUAACGGCGAGUGAAGCGGGAAGAGCUCAAAUUUGAAAUCCUUAAAGGGUUUCCCUUUACGAAUUGUAGUUUAAAGAAGUGUUUUCUGUUGAGGUUUUGGUAAAAGUUCUUUGGAAUAGGACAUCAUAGAGGGUGAGAAUCCCGUAUUUUGACCUUUACUUUCAACUUUGUGAUACACUUUCAAAGAGUCGGAUUGUUUGGGAAUGCAGUCCAAAAUGGGUGGUAAAUUUCAUCUAAAGCUAAAUAUUGGCGAGAGACCGAUAGCGAACAAGUACCGUGAGGGAAAGAUGAAAAGAACUUUGAAAAGAGAGUUAAACAGUACGUGAAAUUGUCAAAAGGGAAGCGUUUGACACCAGUGUUGUUUUUCUGAAAAUCAAUUAAAGAACUGUUUAUGCUAAGCUGUUUAGACUUUAUCAGCUAAUCUGCUUAGUUUUGAGCUUUUCUUUAAUGCACUUUUCAGUUAACAAGUCAACAUCAAUUUCUUUUGCUGUAAAAAAGCUUGAGGAAGGUGGCUUGAGAUUCGUCUUAAGUGUUUAUAGCCUCUUGCCUAUGCAGUCGGAGAGAUUGAGGUCUGCAGCGUAGAUCCUUCGGGGCUAAAUGCAUUUGUGCUAAGUUAUAGCAUUUUAUAGACAACUUGUUGACUAUGAUUUGUCUUGUAGCUUACUCGCUUAUGUUAUUUUACCUACGCUUAGGAUGUUGAAUCUGUGCGAGACUA
This 776-nucleotide ribosomal RNA is filed under the name uncultured Neocallimastigales. Its description in RNAcentral is "partial large subunit ribosomal RNA". It matches the Rfam family "Eukaryotic large subunit ribosomal RNA", at positions 26 to 643 of the family's 3401-position model. The record is from RNAcentral. Lineage: Eukaryota; Fungi; Neocallimastigomycota; Neocallimastigomycetes; Neocallimastigales.